Peromyscus californicus insignis is the source of this 5690-nucleotide long non-coding RNA. RefSeq lists it as uncharacterized. The record is from RefSeq and is a predicted model, not a curated record. The transcript is spliced from 4 exons. Lineage: Eukaryota; Metazoa; Chordata; Mammalia; Rodentia; Cricetidae.
GCAAGAUGUGAAUGUUUGAAAUUUUUUUCACACUGAAAUUAACUCUUUGGCUAUAUUUGAAGAUUUCAGUUAUGACAACAUCAGGCCUCCAAGACAGGGUAGCCACCCUUUCAAAACAGGAUGGCCACCACAGUCCCCAGGAUGCAAGUCUCACACCUGGCCUGUUUCCCUCAUUAGUUUUAAAUUGCAAAUACUGUGGGAAGAUUGUUAGUUUGGCAUGCAGGUGGCUUCUGUGUCCCCUGCAGGGAACCAGCUGGCUGCUCAACACCCAGGAUGAAACAGAGGGUCCAGAGCACUGGGAGGAUUGCCAGCCCCGCUUGCAGCAAGACAGCGGUGACAUGACCCCAACCUCUUCCUUCCUGGAGGAAGCAGAAAAGGGGCCCUGGCUGUUUGCCAGACAGUUUCUCAAGGCAGAUAAGGAGCCACAGAAAGAUGCACCGCUGCAGACAAGCUGGGUUGCUAAAUAAAGGAGCUGCUUGAUGACUGAGUCCUGCCUGUGGUUCUUAGCUUGCCAGCCUCAGUCCAAGAGCAGGCUGAGACCCCCCCACACCUGCUGGCCUUUCCUUUCCAAACAAGCGGCCUCUUAGCAACAGCCCUGACUCCCUGCAUCUGCUAGAAGCCUCAGAGGUACAAAGGAUCCUCGGAGGCAGGCAGAGUGCAGGGGCAGAGCAGAGAGGAUCCCGCAGGAGCUGGUUGUGCAGCGAGCAGGCAGGGGAAAGCGGCUGUGCUCAGCAGCAGAGCUCCAGCAGCUACGGUUGUCUCUUGGCAUCUUUGCUGGGCUGAGGGAGCCCUCUCGGCAUUCCGGCUGCAUCGAUAAAGCAGUGAGCCUUGCUCUUGGCUUCGCGAUGCACACAGGUUCCAAAUGGCCUUUGUCUUCAGCAUCACAGCCUGCAGACAGAGAUGUGCGGAUGAUGCAAGGCUCAGAGACCACACCGUCAGAGCCAACAUACCGGUCAGAAAGAGACCAACCUGAAAGUAGGAAACAAACACUUGUUGCCAACAUCCUACAUGCCCACCUCUGUGUCCAACCACAUGCCUUUCUUCUUUCUUGCAAACAGUUGACUGGGCAAAGAGAAGUAUUCCUGAGAUGCCAGGAGGAACUCCGAGAAUACAGUGAAGAAGCCUGGCUUCCUUGGCUUGCUGUACCCGGAUACACGGCUCCCAUAUGUCCCCUCAUUUCACCUGCCCUGCAACAUUCUGCAUUCUGUUGCCGUCCUCCCUACUGGACAGAUGACAAGUAACAAGAGUCAUACACAGCUCUCAUUUUGUCUGCCUCCCACCCCUCCCUCCUUUUGGUGGAGGGCUGUGUUUCCUUUCUUUGAGGCGACUUUUCUGCCUCCCCUCUCCAAUGAGCAGUCAGAGGCAGCACAGAGCUAUAAGUAAAAACAUAACUUUGGAUCAGGAUUCUCUGGACUCUGUUUCUUACAAGCUUUAUCACCUUGGUAGAGUCCCUUCAUCUCCUCCUCAGUGUUUUUGUUUUUCUCAUGCUUAGAAUAGAAAUGGUUGUCAGAGCGCCUACCCUGGGGGCUAACUCACCCAGUAGGGAUGAAAGGUGAACCAGUUCAAAGGAGUGUGUGGGAUAGCCGCCAUGUGGGAAGGGCUGUAAGCCUAGUCAGUGUUCCUCUAUGGAGGAGGCUAUCAUCACAUCUGCCCCCUUGACCGUAGCUAAUCCUCCAGAGCUGAGAAAGGUGACUUAUGGGCCUGUCCCUUACAUUUCUCUCUGUGGCCUUGGGUAGGAAAGUCAAAUGCUUACUGGUGUGAGAGGUCUAAGCUGUGACCUGCAGGAGCAUCUGCCGUGUGGCUCUGACAGAACAAAGCCACACAAAGAGACUUUGAGAGUUCCACCACAGCCAAGAGUCUCCAUUUCCAGAUGUUCCCUCAGCCCAUCCUAAAACCCCAGCCCUGUGGAAGUGCAGAACCACAGUAGUAAGAAAACAGAAUUUCAAGUCUCCAGGGUGAAAGAAAUCCUACUAAGUCCUUGCAGCAUAACAAACAUGGACCACCCAGAGAACCAUGAGCUGAUCAUCAUCAUUGAGCCAUGCUUCCUCCAUCUCGGCUCCUACCUCCAAGUUAUUACUGUCCCCUCCCCUCCCCUCCCCUCCCCUCCCUUCCUCUUCUUUUCUUGUCUAGUCUGUUUUCCUUUUUUCUCUUUCUGUCUCUGCCCAUCUCUCUGUCUCUGUCUCUGUCUCUCUCUGUCUCUCUCUGUCUCUGUGUGUGUGUGUGUGUGUGUGAGAGAGAGAGAGAGAGAGAGAGAGAGAGAGAGAGAGAGAGAGAGAGAGAGAGAAAGGUGGGUUAACAUGGCCAUUGGACCAGCUGUUUGCAACCAAUCUUAGUUUGCCGCUGCCAAUUUUCCAAUUCUGACUUUCUAUUGCAGCCAACUAACAAACAGCCCUGUUUCCAACCUUUGUAACACUCUGAAAAUAAGACAAGGCACCUCUCCUGGGUGAGGGGACUGGUGGCGUCAUGCUUGGUGUGUUUUUUUAAAAAUAUUAAUUCAUUUACUGUUAUUCAUGUAAGUGUUUUGCUUGCAUGGGUGUACGUAUGCCGUGUACGUAACGUGCCUGGGGAGGCAAGAAGUGAGCGUGGAAAGCCCUGGAACUGGAGUCACAUGGAUGGUCGUGCUGGGAACAAAACCUAGGUCCUCUGCGAGAACAACAAGUAUUCUUAACUGAGCCUUCAUCCAGUAACUGAUGGAAGCAGAUGCAGAAAUCCCCAACCAUGCACCAGGCUGAGCUCUGGGAGUCCAGUCAAAGAGAGAGAAGAGGAAUUACAUGAGCAAGGAGGGGUCAAGAUCAUGAUGGGGAAACCUACAGAGACAACUGAACCAAGCUCAAAGGAACUCACAAACUUUAGACCAACAGUUGUGAAACCUUCAUGGGACCAGACUAGACCCUCUGCAUGCAGGAGACAGUUGUGUAGCUGGGUCUGUUUGAGGGGCCCCUGGCAGUGUGAUCACAAUCUAUCCCUGGUGCAUGAGCCGGUUUUCUGGAUCCCAGUACCUAUGGUUGGACACCUUGCUCAUCCCUGAUAAGUUGGGGAGGGGCUCGGUCCUGCCUCAACUGAAUGUACCAGGCUUAGCUAUCCCCCCAUGGGAGAACUUACCCUGUUGGAGGAGGGGAUGAGGGUGGAGUAGGAGGAGGGAUGAGAGGGGCAUCUGUGGUUGGUAUGUAAAAUGAAUAAAAAAAAAUGACAGCUCUGUGAUGUGAGUGACAGCCCCAUAGACAAUAAGGGACACUAGUCUUGGAAGAGAGUCUCAGCUAUGCUAACUGGGGCAGGUCUAGUAUCUCCCAGUUCCUGUUCCCUCUAUGUGGUAUAAGUGAGGGGCUGAAAAGAUGGCUCAGUAAUUAAGAGCACUUGCGGCUUGUUCCAGUUUGCUUCCUGUUACUGUGAUAAACACCUGACCAAAAGCAACCUAAGGGGAAAAACAUCUUAUUUCAGCUCACACCUCCAAAUCACAGUCCUUCAUUGAGGCAAGUUAGGGCAGGAAUGCAAGCAGAAACUGAAUCAGAAACCAUGAAGGAAUGCUGCUUAUAGGCUUGCUCUCUGACUUGCUUAGGUAGCUUUUGAAUGUAGCCAAAACCCAUCUAAGUAGGGAUUAGGGAUGGCGCCGCCUACAAUUGACUGGGCCUUCCUACAUAAAUCAUCAGUCAAGACAGUAUCACACAGGCAUGGCCACAGGCCAGUUUUACCUGGGCCAUUCCUCAAUUUAUGCUCCCUCUUCCUGGGUGGCUCUAGGUUGUGUCAAAUUGACAAGAAAAGUCAACCAGCACACUGAUCUUCCUGAGAAACUGGGUUCAUUCCAAGCACUCAUAUUGGGCAGUUCACAACCACCAGUAACUCAAACUUCAGGGUUUCUAACACCCUCUUCUGGCCUUCAUGGGCACCCAAAUUUAUGUGCACAUAGAGACAUAUACAGACACACAUAUGCAUAAACAAAAAUAAAAUUUUCAAUUUUUAAGAAGAAAUAUAAGUAACUAAAACUCUUCUAAUUGUCAGACUUGGGUACAUAGAAACAGGAUUUGUACCAGAUUUACUCAUAACUGCUAAAAACUUAGAAACAGCUGGGAUGUCCUACAGUAGGUUGAAUGGAUAAAGAGAGUGAUCUAUCCAGACAGCAGAAUAUUUAUUCAGCACUAAAACAGAAAUAAGUUCUCAAGCCAUGAAAAACCAUGGAGGAGACUUAAAUGCAUAUUAUGAAGUAAAGAAGCCAAUCUAAAAGAGUUGCAUACUACAUGAUGCCAAUCCUCUGGCCUUCUGGAAAAAGUAGAGCUAUCCCUAGGUGUAGCAGGAAUCUUAACAGGUCUUAUUAAUAAAAACAAACCUGAAUCCAGGUAUUGGGGUGAAUGCUGGAAGAUCAGAGAAGCAGAACAAGCCACAGCUACCUCAUCUUGCCAAUUCCUCAGCUGAUCCUGUUUCCUCAGACCAGAAGCCUCUGUGUCCUCAUCCAAAUGGAUCUCAGCUGAACUGCUGCUCAAAAGCCUGAAAGCUUAAACAGCUCUAGUUCCUGGUCCUCACACCUUAAAUACCUUUCUGCUUUCUGCCCUCACUUCCUGGGAUUAAAGACUCACUUUCUGGGAUUAAAGGCAUGUGUUACCAUGCCUGGCUGUUUCCAAUGUGGCCUUGAACUCACAGAGAUCCAGACGAAUUUCUGCCUCUGGAAUGCUAGGAUUAAAGGUGUGAGUGCCACCAUUUUCUAGCCUCUGUAUCUAGUGGCUGUUCUGUUCUCUGACCCCAGAUAAGUUUAUUAGGGUGCACAAUAUUUUGGGGAACAAAAUACCACCACACCUAGGGUUGUGUCAGAGGCAAGAUAAAAGACAAAACACAGGGGACUGAGUGGGCAGUGAGACUAUUUCACUUUUAAAUGGGCAAUACCUAUCAUCAUACAUUUGUCCAAACCCAUUGGAUGUAUGGCACCAAGAGUAAACCCUAAUGUCAGCUGUGGGUCUGGGUGGUUGGAAUGUUUCCAUGCAAGUCCAUUGGUCAUAAUGUAUAAUAAAUGGGCCACUCUAUCUAAUUUAAUUUUUUUCUUAAAAUCUAACUUGGGGUUAGAGAGAUAGUUCCAUCAGUAAAGUGCUUGUUAUACUCGUGAUUUUUAUUUGUUUUAUGCAUUGAUAAGGCUAUUCUCUCACCCUCCCUUUAGAAAGCAUUUUUCUGGAACUCACUUAAUCCUGGUCUGAAAAUAAAAUGUCUUUCUUGGCCCACUGUACAACCAUUGUCCUGGAAUUUUUUUCUUUUGGAUUUGGUGGUUAGUUUGUGUUGUUUCUUACAUCUCAUUGUAUCCUUUCCUUUGUUUUUCUUUUGUGUGUGUGUCCAUUUUCUGGAAUAUAGUCUUAAGUAAUUCUUCAGAAAUGGUGCCUGGGAGACAGGAUUUUUCACUGUUUGAAUACUUAAAAUUGCUUUUAUUUACCUUCUAUAUUGACUAAUAGUUUGGUUAAGUAUAAAACUUGAAGAUAAACAUCAGUUUUCCCCCAGAAACAUUUAUAACUUUGUUUAUUACCUUUGAGCAUCUGUUUUCACGUGUGUAAAAUGUGUUCCAGUUCUCAUUUUUAAACGUGAUUCCAUUCAAUGCUUGCAACUUUUACACCAUUUCUUUCUGUAGACUCAACUGAAAAGUCACAGUCAUGUUUCUGUAGAGAUUUUAUUGUUGUUAUUGUUCAUUUUGCUCAUAUAAGGUGAGUCUCUUGAUUAUA